UACGUAGGGGGCUAGCGUUGUCCGGAUUUAUUGGGCGUAAAGAGCGUGUAGGCGGCCAAGUAGGUCCGUUGUGAAAACUGGAGGCUUAACCUCCAGCUGUCGAUGGAAACCAUUUGGCUAGAGUCCGGAAGAGGAGAGUGGAAUUCCUGGUGUAGCGGUGAAAUGCGCAGAUAUCAGGAAGAACACCCGUGGCGAAGGCGGCUCUCUGGGACGGUACUGACGCUGAGACGCGAAAGCGUGGGGAGCGAACGGG
RNAcentral lists this ribosomal RNA (253 nucleotides) under uncultured bacterium. Its description in RNAcentral is "partial 16S ribosomal RNA". It matches the Rfam family "Bacterial small subunit ribosomal RNA", at positions 524 to 776 of the family's 1533-position model. The record is from RNAcentral.